AGACAGGGUAAAAAGAACGAAUUACGAAAGGAAAUCGACGCCGCUGGGUUACGUUUUAAUAGCGUUUCUAUCCAUAAAAAUAUUUCCGGAAACGUAUGGGUAAUGAAAAUAAAGACAGAACAAUUACUUAUUGAGUCAUUCAGCAAAUGCAUUGUUUUUUGUAAAUAACAGUAAAGCAGAGGAAUACCAGAAAUUAAAUUUUGAAUUAGCCAGAAUGGCCGAUAUUAGAAGACUUCAAGAAAUUUAAGAAUUAGUCAUCAAUAAUAUGGUUACAAGAUGAAUUUUUAAGUCUGCAAAAAGAAAUGAAAUUGACACUAGAAGAAAACAAGGCAAUUAAUAAUAAAAGUGUAGAAGCCAUCGAAAAAGCUAACAAAAUGGUUCAAAAGCAGCAGAAAGAAAUUGAAGAAUUAAAAAUGAAAGUAAGUGAUGAAUCAA
Molecule: unclassified non-coding RNA, 435 nt
Filed under: Centruroides sculpturatus (bark scorpion)
Lineage: Eukaryota; Metazoa; Arthropoda; Arachnida; Scorpiones; Buthidae
Description: rB1-inducible coiled-coil protein 1-like, transcript variant X1
Source: RNAcentral